This 253-nucleotide ribosomal RNA is filed under the name uncultured bacterium. RNAcentral's name for it is "partial 16S ribosomal RNA". It matches the Rfam family "Bacterial small subunit ribosomal RNA", at positions 524 to 776 of the family's 1533-position model. The record is from RNAcentral.
UACGUGAGGGGCGAACGUUGUUCGGUGUCACUGGGCUUAAAGGGUGCGUAGGUGGUUCUGUAAGUAAGGUGUGAAAUCCCUCGGCUUACCCGGGGAAUUGCAUUUUAUACUGCAGGGCUUGAGGAUCACAGGGGAAAGGGGAACUCCAGGUGUAGCGGUGAAAUGCGCAGAUAUCUGGGGGAAGGCCGGCGGCGAAGGCGCCUUUCUGGGUGAUUCCUGACACUGAGGCACGAAAGCGUGGGGAGCAAACAGG